Molecule: long non-coding RNA, 216 nt
Organism: Chiroxiphia lanceolata (lance-tailed manakin)
Lineage: Eukaryota; Metazoa; Chordata; Aves; Passeriformes; Pipridae
Exons: 2
Source: RefSeq, a predicted model, not a curated record
UUCCUGUUCCGUCCCUGCGGCCGCGGAGCUCUCGGAAAGAUGACAUGUGUGCAGACAUGUACAAGACCUCCUGGGGCGGGGGAGGGGGGGGGAUAGAGGGAAGGUACAAGAACCCUUGGAGAAGGUGGGGCAUGGCCUUUUUCCCCUGAAAGGUCUGAUGUGCUGCAUCAUAAAAAAGUAUUCCUUGCAUCUGAAUCAAACCUUUUUUUAAUCCUU